UUAGGGAUAGUGCAAAAUGUCUUUGGAAGCCAAAAGAUUCAGUACUUCUUUAUCCAAGACCAUUAUUCAGGUGCUUCGUCUACUUUGGUUACUUAUUUACUUCUAUGAGAUAUGUGGUGGCCCCUUGUUUUUUAAAAAAGAGUAGUUUUUACUAGUUUUUAGUACUUAUACCAAUUUUUUCUACUCUACUUUUCUUUAUUUCUCUUUUCUUUCUAAGUAGAGAUCUAGUCUCGUGUUCCUUUUGCCUUCAACCACCAUCUGCUUCCUGCUUCCUUCUAAAGUGCCUUUUUUCUUUGCCUAAUAAUGUCAACAUCCAAUAUCUCUAUUACAGAAAUAGAUAUAGUGAUUCCCUUGUUGAGAUUAUUGGUGCCAACUUUGAUACUGCGAGUGACAUCAAUUCUCCUUCUACUCCUAUUGAUGAGAAGUUUUUCAAUACCUUGGCAGAGUUUGUGUAUGGGGUCGGAUCCUUAGUAGACUCGAUGACCCCUAAAUAGUUCAAUUUUUAGAAUGACUGCAAACACCAUAAUUUUAAGGAUUAUUUGGUUGUGCCGUGAAAGCAUUCCACUAUCUACUUUAUAUCCUAAGUAGAUGAGAGCACCAUCCAAAAGAUUAAAGAUGACGGUGGAUGGCUAAAUGAUGCCAAGUCAUCUCUCCUCUUUCUUUGGAGGAAAUUUCCACCUUUAAGCCUGGCUUUUUGAUAUGGGAAUUCCUAGAUUGAGACCCUUCACACGAAGCCAAGCAUGUGAGUUGCAAUGACUCCAAGCCUUGUUCAUAUUAUUGUCCAUGUGUGAGGCCCUUGUGAGCUCAUCUAAGGGCCUAUAUUUAAUAAAAUGUGAAGAGGCUCACCAAGACACCCCAAACCCACCCACUUAAAUGCCAAGGGUAUUUUGAUCUUUGUCCCUCCUUUAUAAGUGACUAUAUAAGCCAUGUAACAGGGCUAGUCUUGCUUUAGUUCAUUUCUGUUAUUCAAGAAACAAAAGACUUGUAAAUUUUUGACUUCUCUUUCUCAUUUGGAGAGGCCAAAACCAAAUUCUCACUAGUAGAGUGAUACUAGUGUUGUAUCUCGGCUAUAAACUAGGUUCUUAGGGUUCUUUGAGUUCCUCUUGGUCCAAGUAAGAACUUGUUAUUGAUAUUUAUUAGUCUUAGGGUCCUUUCUCUUGUUAGGAUUCUUAGAUUAAUGAAUAUUGUGUGUCAAGUUUCUAUCUCUUUCUUUGUAGAUCUUGUUAACAUUGUAUUGUUGAAUAAAAAAGUCUAGUGAAGCUGUGUGGGGUUCUUUUGAUUCACUAGAAAUAUUGUCUUUGUUGUUCUUGUUGUUAAACUCACUUUUCUAGCUCAAACAAGUGUUGCAACCCUAGUGAAGCUGUGUGUGACCAUUUUCGAUUCACUAGCACUUUAUUGUUCAUGUUGUUGUUCUUGUGUUGGUUGGAAUCUCUUUAUACACACUUAGUAUUGUAUCAUUUGGUAUCAAAUCCAUCUUUAGUUUUGUUCUUACAAUACCAAUCUUAGGCUUUCUUGCUAAGAAAAUUAAAAAAAAGCUGAAAACUGAAAAAAAAAUCUAGAAAUGUGCAAAUCUGUCUAUUUUGUGUUCUUGGUCGAAAAUUGUGUUGUUGUUAUCUUGGCCAAGAUUUGUUGGUUGUGUGUCUAGAAAUUGUAGUUUUUUUUUUGUUUAGAGUGUUUGUAGUGUUGGUUUCUUUCUCAUCAACACUAAAAAGUGUCCAAAUCUAAGAUUGAACUUGAACAUAUUAAAAUUGUAGAUGUGAAUAAGGUGUGGCCGAGUUGGAUGUUGUUAUUACCUAAACCUUGGCCGAUUUGAUGGUCUUGUUGUAGUGAAGUUGGAAACUGAAGUUGUUGUUAUUCUUGGAUUUUUUGUAGUGUUCUUAAGGUUCUUUACCCUUUCAUCAUCUUGUUAAUCCGUAAAGUGCAAACUAGAUCUAAACAGGUGAAAGACAAGCUUGUAGUAGUUGUUAGUGAAAGUCUUGUCCCUAUCACUUCAAAGACUUUUCAUCUAAUUUUCCUUGAUUUAAGGACCUUGUUUCAAGGAGAAAGUUCAAAGAAGUCAAGUUUUUCUUUUGAAAUUUGAACAAAACUGCUCCAAGACCACUUUUCCCUCCAUUUACCAAAUCCACCAAUUCCAAAUUGUUUAUUGAUCAAGACUUGAAAUUGGGAAAUAAAAUUUUGAUAAAAAUCGAGGCCAAUAGUGGAAUGUCACGUCACUAAAGUACUAUUCACACAAUAUUUUUGAGUUCAAAUUUUAGAUUUCUUAGUUUCAUUUUAUUGUUUUCUAGUUUUGUUUGUUUGCUCGACACUAAUUGACAACCUAGUAAUACCCUACUAGCUUGUAAGUUAGUUUUGUGUACGUUUUUUGUGUUAACAUUGUUUGUUUAUGUGCUUUUGUCAUUUGAAUACGUUAUAAAUCUUGGCUCUAGUCCGAUGAGAAUUCUUUGAGUUUCAAAUAAGAAUCUAUUUCAGGCAAGAUCAUACUCAUACCUUACGGAUUCUUGGGUUCCUAGCCAAGCUACAACACUUGUGGAACUUGAGUGUGAGUGAACCAAGAGAGUGUGAGUGAGGAGAGGGAUUUUAAACUAAAUUGUUUGUUGCUUUUAUUAGUGAUACCUUAAUAAUGGAGGGAACCACGUCUCAAACCGUGGAUUCUAAUGAAAUGGAGAAUAUGAGGGUCACUCUUAAGGCUAUGACCCGAGCUCUUGAAAGGUUGAGUACGAAAGUGGGAGCCAUAAGGGGAGAAGUGAUGACUAUUAGUGGGAGGUUAGAACAAGUGGAGAGUCAAAGGAACUCUCUUCCUUCUACUCCUCAACAUGUUUUGUCAAGUGAACACUAUAGAGAUUCCUCCGCUACUGUUACUCCCAAAACAUGGCCACAAUUUCCAAAUCCUUCACUAGCUCCACUAAAUGCCGCAAGCUAAACCACUUAUAACCCUCUAAACUGAGACUCCAAUAGACCAACCCAUUCCCAAAUGCCUCAAGUUCCUCAAGAGGUACUCGGACGUCAAAUGACUCCACAAAAUUCAAACCCCCCCUCCAAGCUCCACUAAACUAAAGACCACCAUCUCCACAAAAUCCAGUUCCUUCGAAUCAAGUUACAAAUGUCCAAAACCAUCCCGUCCACCAUGAUGAAUAUGGUAAAUAGGAUUAUGAAGGGUAUGGAGCCUUUGAUAAUGCCUAUAUGAGGGAGAAAGAGAUGAGAGGGGGUCGUGUGGAUCCAAGGAGAUGCCAAGGGUAUGUAGAAAGGGGAAACUAAUACCUAGAGAGAGACAUAGGCAUCAAUACCAUCAAAUUGAGCCUACCUAUCUUUAAGGGUGAAAUUGACCCCGAGGUGUAUCUUGCUUUGGAGUCGGCGUGAUAUAAAGUGUUUCAAGUGAAUGAUAUCUUGGAGGAGAAGAAGAGUUGUUAUCCCAUAGCUCAUUUUAAAGGCUAUGCUAACAAUUGGUGGGAAUACGUCAAGUGGUUCGACAAUGAGUUGGUAGUGGGAAAACCACCACCAUGGUUUCGGUUGAGGUACCUACUGAGGCAAAAGUAUCUUCCCAAAAGUUAUUGUCAUGAAUUUCUUGCUAGGUUGCACAAUUUUUGACAAGGGAAUCAAAGUGUUAUGACAUACUAUGACGAGUUUUAACAACUCAUGUUGAAGCUUGAUCAUCGGGGAACAAAUUGGCCAUGACAUUGUUUGGUUCAAGUAUGGGUUGAACAAAGAGAUCUCCACCCAUUUGAUGCUUCACAAGUUUGAUACCGUUGAGGGGAUUUUCCAAGUGGCUUUUGAGAUUAAAAGGGAGUUUAAAGAGAGAUCAUCGUUCAAGGCAAAGGGACCAUCAACCUUGGGUUGACCGAGGAGCAAACAUACAGUUCAACCAUCUUUGGGUUGGCCCAAAAAAAGGACCAACCCGCCACUACAAGGCUGCCUAAGACUAAAACAGUCCACAAUUUUCCUCCCCGGCAAGAAGCUCACAAGUAUCCUAAUCCUAAAAGGUUCCAAUGUUUCAAGUGUCAAGGUUGGGGACAUAAAGCCAAUGAAUGUCCAAACUAGCUUAAUAUGAUCCUAAGGGAAGAGAGAUUGUAUUACCUUGGUGAGAAAGUGGGUCUUGAAAAAGAAGAGAAUGAUGCUGAGCCUCAAGAUGGAGAGGAACCCAUAAAUGAUCCACAUGAUGAUGAUGAUAAUUGUGAGGAUGCUUAUCCACAAGAAGGGAAGUGCAUGGUUCCAAACUUUGUAGUGACGUGUACCAUGAUUAGUAAGGCAAUAGAUAAUCCUAUCCAAUGGGAGAAUCUAUUCCAUACUAAAUGUCUUGUGAAGGGAAGUAUGUGCACUAUGGUGAUAGAUAGUGGAAUUUGUGUGAAUGUGGUUAGUGUUGCAAUGGUGAGCUUCUUGAAAUUGUCGACUACACCUCACACUAGUCCUUAAAAGUUGCAAUGGUUUAAUGAAUGCGGCAAGUUAAAGGUCACAAGGCAAUGUGUGAUACAUUUUAAGGUAGCCAACUACCAUGACGAGGUGCUUUGUAAGGUGAUACCAAUGUAAGAUUGUCACUUGUUGUUAGGAAGGACUUGGAAAUACGAUAGGUUGACCUAAUAUGAUGGAAGGUCCAAUCGGUAUACACUUGAGAAGGAUGGCUGCAAGGUCUCUCUUCAUUCAUUAUUGCCUUCUCAAGUGAAUGAAUUACACCAGAAGGUGCGAAAAUUGAAAGAAAAGGGAAAGAAGGUAGAGAGUAAGGGGAAAAGAGAGGAACCCAAGAGUGAGGGAGUAAGGGAAACCAAAGGGAUACUAAUUUCUAAGGGGAAAGGAAGUGUGGUGAUGAUGGCUAGGAGGAAAGAAUUAUUUGUGGAUCAUGACGAGGACAUUCCGAUGCUCCUCUUGUCUCAUUGUUUUAAUACUAACGCCACUAAUAUUUUCAUUUCUCCUCCUAUUUCUCAUGUUUUGCAGGAUUACGAGGAUGUCUUUCCAAAGGAAUUAUUGCAAAGAUUUCCCCCACUUCAGGGAAUUGAACACAAAAUAGAUUUUAUGCCGGGUUCACAAUUGCCUAACAAAUUGGCUUAUAGGAUCAACCCGAUGGAUAUCAAGGAAUUUCAACGCCAAGUUGAGGAACUCAACAAAGGGUAUAUCAAGGAGAGUAUGAGCCCUUAUGCUGUCCCAAUGCUACAGUUCCCAAGAAAUAUAGGACUUGGCGUAUGUGCAUUGAUUGCCGAGCCAUCAACAAGAUAACGAUAAAAUAUCGUCACCCUAUUCCUAGGUUAGAUGAUAUGCUUGAUGAAUUGAGUGGUUCAUGUUUGUUUUCUAAAAUUGAUUUGAGGAGUUGCUAUCACCAAAUUCGUAUGCAACUGGGUGAUGAAUGGAAAACUGUCUUCAAGACCAAAUUCGGUCUCUAUGAAUCGAUGGUUAUGCCAUUCAGCCUAACUAACUCUCCAAGUACUUUCAUGAGGCUAAUGAAUCAUGUGAUGAAGCCAUUUAUCAAAAAGUUUGUUGUUGUUUACUUUGAUGAUGUGUUGGUGCAUAUAAAGUCCUUAGAUGAGCAUGUAAAGCAUUUACAAUGUGUGUUUGAUGUCCUCCAAAAGGAGAAGUUAUAUGCUAAUCUAGAAAAGUGUUCUUUUGGUGUCCAAAGGGUUGUAUUUCUUGGAUUUGUGGUGACCUCAAGAGGGGUCAAAGUGGAUGAAUCUAAGAUUGACACCAUUAAAAAUUAGCAAACUUCCAAAACUAUAGGUGAAGUGAGAAGCUUCCACGGGUUGGCUAUUUUUUAUAGAUGUUUUGUCAAGGGAUCUAGCACCAUUACCACCUUCUUGACUGAAGUGAUUAAAAAAGACUGGCCUUUCAAGUGGGGAGAUGAACAAGUUAAGGCCUUUGAGGACUUGAAAUCUAUGCUCAUCGGCCCCUUUGCUACAAUCGCUGAAUUUUGACAAGACUUUUGAGGUCGAAUGUGAUGCUAGCAAAGUCAGCAUAGGUGCGGUUUUAAUGCGAGAAUUAAAGCCUAUUGCGUACUUUAGCGAAAAGCUCAAAGGAGCAACUCUAAACUGGUCAACGUAUGAUUUAGAAUUGUAUGCCUUGAUUAGUGCCUUGUCCACUUGGCAACAUUAUUUGUGGCCUAAAGAAUUCGUGAUUCGAAUGGAUCAUGAAUCCUUGAAGCAUCUACGGCACAAGAUAAGCUUAACCGGCGGCAUGCCAAAUGGAUUGAAUUUCUUGAAACUUUCCCUUAUGUUAUUCAAUACAAGAAGGGUAAAGAUAAUGUGGUUGCCGAUGCUUUAUCCCAAAAAUAUGUGCUUGUGUAUACUUUGUCGUCUAAGUUGAUGUGGUUUGAAAGCCUCAAGUCUUCAUAUCUCGAGGACCCUCAUUUCGCUUUUAUCUAUAGGGAAGUUAGAUAAGGAUAGGUGGGUUACGAAUAGGGGUUCCCAUCCCUAUACCAAAUUUGAUGGAUACUUAUUUAAAGGUAUACGAUUGUGUGUUCCCUCAAGUUCAUAGAGAGAAUUAUUUGUGAGGGAAGCACACAAUGAUGGUCUAAUGGGCUAUUUUGGGGUCGAGAAUAUCCUAAGAAUUUUGGAAGAACAAUUUUAUUGGCCUAUAACGCACAAGGAUGUGGCCCGGAUUUGCGACCAAUGUGUUGAGUGAAAGGGAUCCAAGUAACGGAUCCAACCCCACGGGUUGUACAUCUCAUUAUCCGUCCCUUUGCGCUAUUGGCUUGACAUAUCAAUGGACUUCGUGUUGGGAUUGCUGAGGACUAGAAGGGGUGGGAUAGUAUUUUUGUCAUGGUGCAUGAGUUUUCCAAGAUGGCUCACUUUAUUCCUUUUUUUAAAUGUGAUGAUGCACCAGUGUAGCCUCUUUGUUUGUUAAUAAUAUUGUAAAACUUCAUGGUGUUCCAUGGACCAUAGUGAGUGAUAGGGAUUCUAAAUUCCUAAGCCACUUUUGGAAGUCCAUGUGGGGUAGAAUCAGUACUAAGUUGUUGUUUUUGACUUCAUGCCACCCACAAAUCAAUGGCCAAACGGAAGUUGUAAAUAGGACCUUAGGGUCUAAUCUACGGCCCAUGGUAAAAGGAAAAGUGACUUCUUGGGAGGAGCACUUACCGUUGAUUGAGUUUGCUUAUAAUCGUGUUAUACAAUCGAGCACGGGGAUGACACCCUUUGAGUGUGUAUACGACAUCAAAACCCUCACCCUUUUGGAUUUAACCCCUUUGCCAAUUGAUCUUGUGAUAAUCUUAGAUGGAAGUAAACGGUCCAAGGACAUGAAUAAGCUACAUGAUAAGGUGAAGUUGAGUUUGGAGAAGAAAAACCAAGAAGUUGAGAGGCGAGCCAACAAAGGAAGAGAAAAGCUCAUUCUUGAACCAGGAGAUUGGGUGUGGUGUACCUAAGAAAUAAUAGAUUCUCGUCUCAAAGGAAUUCUAAGUUACUCUCCAAGUACUUUCAUGAGGCUAAUGAAUCAUGUGAUGAAGCCAUUUAUCAAAAAGUUUGUUGUUGUUUACUUUGAUGAUGUGUUGGUGCAUAUAAAGUCCUUAGAUGAGCAUGUAAAGCAUUUACAAUGUGUGUUUGAUGUCCUCCAAAAGGAGAAGUUAUAUGCUAAUCUAGAAAAGUGUUCUUUUGGUGUCCAAAGGGUUGUAUUUCUUGGAUUUGUGGUGACCUCAAGAGGGGUCAAAGUGGAUGAAUCUAAGAUUGACACCAUUAAAAAUUAGCAAACUUCCAAAACUAUAGGUGAAGUGAGAAGCUUCCACGGGUUGGCUAUUUUUUAUAGAUGUUUUGUCAAGGGAUCUAGCACCAUUACCACCUUCUUGACUGAAGUGAUUAAAAAAGACUGGCCUUUCAAGUGGGGAGAUGAACAAGUUAAGGCCUUUGAGGACUUGAAAUCUAUGCUCAUCGGCCCCUUUGCUACAAUCGCUGAAUUUUGACAAGACUUUUGAGGUCGAAUGUGAUGCUAGCAAAGUCAGCAUAGGUGCGGUUUUAAUGCGAGAAUUAAAGCCUAUUGCGUACUUUAGCGAAAAGCUCAAAGGAGCAACUCUAAACUGGUCAACGUAUGAUUUAGAAUUGUAUGCCUUGAUUAGUGCCUUGUCCACUUGGCAACAUUAUUUGUGGCCUAAAGAAUUCGUGAUUCGAAUGGAUCAUGAAUCCUUGAAGCAUCUACGGCACAAGAUAAGCUUAACCGGCGGCAUGCCAAAUGGAUUGAAUUUCUUGAAACUUUCCCUUAUGUUAUUCAAUACAAGAAGGGUAAAGAUAAUGUGGUUGCCGAUGCUUUAUCCCAAAAAUAUGUGCUUGUGUAUACUUUGUCGUCUAAGUUGAUGUGGUUUGAAAGCCUCAAGUCUUCAUAUCUCGAGGACCCUCAUUUCGCUUUUAUCUAUAGGGAAGUUAGAUAAGGAUAGGUGGGUUACGAAUAGGGGUUCCCAUCCCUAUACCAAAUUUGAUGGAUACUUAUUUAAAGGUAUACGAUUGUGUGUUCCCUCAAGUUCAUAGAGAGAAUUAUUUGUGAGGGAAGCACACAAUGAUGGUCUAAUGGGCUAUUUUGGGGUCGAGAAUAUCCUAAGAAUUUUGGAAGAACAAUUUUAUUGGCCUAUAACGCACAAGGAUGUGGCCCGGAUUUGCGACCAAUGUGUUGAGUGAAAGGGAUCCAAGUAACGGAUCCAACCCCACGGGUUGUACAUCUCAUUAUCCGUCCCUUUGCGCUAUUGGCUUGACAUAUCAAUGGACUUCGUGUUGGGAUUGCUGAGGACUAGAAGGGGUGGGAUAGUAUUUUUGUCAUGGUGCAUGAGUUUUCCAAGAUGGCUCACUUUAUUCCUUUUUUUAAAUGUGAUGAUGCACCAGUGUAGCCUCUUUGUUUGUUAAUAAUAUUGUAAAACUUCAUGGUGUUCCAUGGACCAUAGUGAGUGAUAGGGAUUCUAAAUUCCUAAGCCACUUUUGGAAGUCCAUGUGGGGUAGAAUCAGUACUAAGUUGUUGUUUUUGACUUCAUGCCACCCACAAAUCAAUGGCCAAACGGAAGUUGUAAAUAGGACCUUAGGGUCUAAUCUACGGCCCAUGGUAAAAGGAAAAGUGACUUCUUGGGAGGAGCACUUACCGUUGAUUGAGUUUGCUUAUAAUCGUGUUAUACAAUCGAGCACGGGGAUGACACCCUUUGAGUGUGUAUACGACAUCAAAACCCUCACCCUUUUGGAUUUAACCCCUUUGCCAAUUGAUCUUGUGAUAAUCUUAGAUGGAAGUAAACGGUCCAAGGACAUGAAUAAGCUACAUGAUAAGGUGAAGUUGAGUUUGGAGAAGAAAAACCAAGAAGUUGAGAGGCGAGCCAACAAAGGAAGAGAAAAGCUCAUUCUUGAACCAGGAGAUUGGGUGUGGUGUACCUAAGAAAUAAUAGAUUCUCGUCUCAAAGGAAUUCUAAGUUGAUGCCAAGGGGUGAUGGCCCGUUCCAAGUAUUAGAAUGGAUCAACGACAAUGCCAACAAGAUUGAUCUACCCCCAGAAUAUCAAGUGCACAACACUUUCAACGUGUGUGAUCUCUCUCGGCUGGAAACAGUGGAGGAUGGCAAUGAUCUGAAUUUAAGGACAAAUUCCCUUCAAUAUAGAGAGGAUGAUACGGGAAUUCCUAGCUCGAGACCUUUUACAUGAAUCCAAGCACGUGAGUUGUAAUAACUCCAAGCCUUGUUCACAUUCUUUGCAAUAUGUGAGGCCCUUGUGAGCCCAUCUAAGGGCCGAUAUUUAAUAACAUGUGAAGAGGUUCACCAAGACACCCAAACCCACCCACUUAAUGCCAAGGUAAUUUUAGUCUUUGUCCCUCAUUUCUAAGUGACUAUAUAAGCCAUGUAAUAGGGCUAGUCUUGCUUUAGUUCAUUCUUAUUAUUCAAGAAACAAAAGACUUGUAAAUUUUUGACUUCUCUUUCUCAUUUGGAGAGGCUAAAACUAUAUUCUCACUAGUAGAGUGAUACUAGUGUUGUAUCUUGGCUAGAAACUAGGUACUUGGGGUUCUUUGAGUUUCUCUUAGUCCAAGUAAGAACUUGGUAUUGAUAUUUAUUAGUCUUAGGGUCCUUUCUCUUGUUAGGGUUCUUAGAUUAAUGAAUAUUGUGUGUCAAGUUUCUAUCUCUUUCUUUGUAAAUCUUGUUAAUAUUGUGUUGUUGAAUAUAAAAGACUAGUGAAGCCGUGUGGGGCUCUUUAGAUUCACUAGCAAUAUUAUCUUUGUUGUUCUUGUUGUUAAACUCACUUUUCUAGCUCAAACAAGUGUUACAAGCCUAGUGAAGCCGUGUGUGGCCAUUUUCGAUUUACUAACACUUUGUUGUUCAUGUUGUUGUUCUUGUUGGUUGGAAUCUCUUGAUACACACUUAGUAUUGUAUCACUUCCUGAGGGUUUAUACCUAUCUUUUUUCCAUGGUCCUUGGCUGUGGUCCCCGUUUACAAUUCAUACUUUAUAAGGUUUACAAAAUCUCAAGAAUAGGAGGCCCCUAUGAUCUAGAGGGCCACCAACUGCCUAUAUGUUAUCACCCACAACUUAGGAUUAGAUUUCACACCAUGCCAUUUUGUUGCUUUGUACGCCCUCAAUUGUUUAUGAGAAACUUUUCACGAUUAAGUUUUAGGGUAAUGUAACAACCUGAGACAAUCCCCUAGUCGUUACAUGGCGCAUAAGGUCCCAAGAGACCAUAAGCUAACCCAUGAGAUGGUACCUUCUGUGAGCAUUGAAUCAUAUAAUCAUGAAUGCAGAAGAAUAUCUGAAAUGCCAUAAGGUUUUAAUAAUGAAAUAACUACUUAAUUAUGAAUCUGAUAAAAAUACUAAAAUCUGAAUAGUCUGAAUAGCUAACUGUAGUGUCUGAAAAGUCUCUAACUGGAUACUGCAAGUUGAUGGAACAUGACCUAACUAACUCUACUAAUGACUGAGAUAAAGACAUGAAGUAAUAUAAUCUAUCCUCGGAUGAUGAGGACUCACCACUGCUACCGUACUGCUGAUAAUCUGAGAAUCUAGGUGUGAUCUGAGAACUGAGCGUUAGCACCUAUGAUAUGAGACAUCGUAGCACAAAAGAAAAGGUAUGCAAUCAGUACUUUGAAUGUACAAUUAAGAUAAAUGAGGUAGGCUGAUAUGCAUGGUCUCAUGAAUAGAAAUGAUAAUAAUUAACUGGACAUACAUGUAAAGCAUGGAGUACUGAAUAAAGAGCAUGGAAUCUGUAGAUACUUAAAAUGAAGGAAAAUAUAUAAAUACCAUGGAUGUAUGACCAAGCAUAUAACAUAAACUGAGUAAAAUCUGUAAACUGAUAUACUGAGAUAACUAAAAUCUUUAUGCUUUGGUCAAACAACACUAAGACUGAAUAACUGAACUGAGACUGUAAUUGAGACUAUAUCUGAGACUGUGGGAGGUAUCGUCUAACUGACAUUCCCCAAUUUGAGCUAAUUGGGGUCCAACCUAUAACCUCAGUUGGAAGAGUGUUAAUACCAUUCCACGGGUACUAACAAUUGCUGUGUGGAUCCACUAAACUAAUAUAAUGUCCAAAGGACUAAAGGUGUUAAGCCUGAAUUCACGGGUGACCAGAUAGUCAAGCCUAAUAUAAUGUGUGAAUACUCAUAUCCUAUGCUGGCUACGUAGUUCUGGAGUAUAGGGACUGCGACUAAUGACUCUGCCUAUCUGAUAGGGAAGCCGCCGUCCCUACACUCGCUCGGUGCUAAAUCCUACUCCCAACUGAAAGACACUGAGAUACUAGACUGUUUUGAGUUUAAUGACUGAUAUCUGACUAUUCUGAUAAUGCUCAUAAUAUAAUCUGAAGACUAUUCUGUAUUAUACUGAGACUAGACUAAAUAAAGAGCUAUGGUAUUCGGAUAUUCAAUACCCCUAGGACUCAAAAAGACAAUACUGAAAAGACACUAAAGCUUGAAGACCAAAACAUGAAAGCUCUAAUUAAAUAAAUCACUCUUGUAGGUAUUUUAUCUAACACUUGUACUUCAUAGUUUAGUCAAUUCAUGGGAAUAGUAUAAAACUUAAAAUAAUAGCAUAACUUCAAUAUUUAUAACACUAAAUCAUGAUCUAAUUCGAAUAAUGACAAUAUUAAAACAUGAGGGAUUUGAUAACAACAAUAAUUCCAUUAAAGUAUGGAGUAAAAUCAAUAUUCAUGGAAGUUCAUGGAGAUUCAUAGUUUUAAAUCACAAUUUAAUACCAUAAAUCUUGAAUUAAAUCACAAUUUAAUAUCAUAAAUCUUGAAAAGAUGAUAGAUUUGUAAUUAAAAUAGAUACUUGGACUUCAUGGAUGAAAGGAAUCCAGAUGAACAUCUAACAUAACUGGGAUGAUGAAUUUGAAAGGAUUGAUAGAGAGUUCUUGAAAUUUGACCUUGAUUCUUGAGAGCUAGGGUUUCUUGUUCUUGAAAGAGGGGAUUUUUAAUUUGAUAGAAAGUGAAUAAUAAUGAGUACUUAGGUCAAUAAAGGGUUAAAUUUCGUGUUUAGGGCUAGUUUAGGGCUUAGGAAAAAGACCCAAAUACCCUUAAACAAAUUUAAAAACACAAGAUGUAAACUAAAAUCUCGAUUUUUGGCCUUGACGUGAUGCACCACAAUUGCGCUAAGCCACUAGAAAAGGGACAUUGGGACUAGGAUAAAUGCCGUGAUGCACCACCAUUGCAGUAAGCCUAAGGAUGCUAUUUUGGCCAUCUCUGAGACGCGCCAUGAUCGCGAAGGCCCACUGAAAUUUGACAAAUGUCAAAUUGACCUAUGGCGCGAUGUGCUAGGAUCACGAAACUUUACUAGAUUUUUUCGAAUGGGAGAUUUGCCUACUCCGCGAUGCACUAGAGGUUAAAAUGAUAGUGUUUAAUGAUUGAAAUUUUCAAUCGCCAUAACUUCUUACCCAGUUAUUGGAUUUGGGCAAAUUUUAUAUCGCUAGAAAGCUAAUUGAAUUUCCUACGCAAUGGCAGGAUCUAAACUGAAAAAUAAUAAGUGUUUCAAAAUUUUUAUAUAUGAACACUCAUGUACUGGAACUUAGAUUAUGCUCGGGAAAUAUGGGGUGUUACAAUAUCUCCCCUUUGUGAUCAUUCAUCCCCGAAUAAAACUGGUUAAGUUGAGGAAACCGAUGGACUAAGCUUACAUAAUGAAUAUGUAUGUAUGAUGCAUGGAAUGCAUGACUGAACUGAUUCAUGAAUGUACGACUGACAUAAAAAUGAUGUGUGGCUGAAACUGAGCAUGAUAGAGAAAAAUCUUAAGAAGAUUGGUACCUUAUAAUUAAUCUGGAUUCACAGAGAAAAGAUGAGGGUACUUGAUCCGCAUGUCCGCUUUUGCUUCUCAAGUAGCUCCCUCAAUGGAAUGAUUAUGUCAAAGAACUUUGACCAAUGGAGCUUUUUUGUUCAUUAGUCUACGAACUUGAUUAUCAAGAAUUUCGACUGGAAUUUCGUUAUAGGAAAUACUAUUCUAAAUAUCUACACUUUCUAAGAGAACAACCACACCUGGAUCACUAAUACACUUUUUCAACAAUGAGACAUGGAACACUGGGUGUACUGAGGCUAGAUCUGAAGGCAACUCAAGCUCGUAAGCCACUAUUCUGAAACAACUGAGGAUUCUAAAGGGACCAACAUAUCGGGGAUUGAGCUUCCCCUUCUUUCCGAAUCUCUUCACUCCCUUUAUGGGAGAGAAUUUCAAGUACACAAAAUCCUCAACCUCAAACUCGAGAUCCUUUCUUCUCACAUCUACAUAUGAUUUCUGUCUGUUCUGGGCAGCCUUAAGCCUUUCUUUAAUCAACUGCACCUUCUUUAGUGCAUCAAGCACCAAGUUAGGCCCUACUACUGCUGCCUCACCUACUUCAAACUAACCAAUUGGAGAUCUAUAUCUCCUACCAUAGAGAGCCUCAAACGGAGCCAUAUGAAUACUGGAAUAAUAGCUGUUAUUGAAUGCGAAUUCAAUCAAAGGUAAAUGGUCAUCCCAACUACCCUUAAAAUCAACAACACAUGCUCUCAGCAUAUACUCAAGAGUCUUAAUAGCCCUUUCUGCUUGACCAUCUAUUUGAGGGUGGAAGGCUGUACUGAGAUGGACUUAGGUACGAAGACCUUUUUGGAAUGCUUUGCAGAAGUGAGAGGUAAACUGAGUACCUCUAUUAGAGAUCAUAGAUAUGGGAAUGCUGUGCAACCUAGCCAACUCUUUGAGAUAGAUAUUGGCAUAGUCCUUGGCUGAAUAAUAGGUAUGGACUGGCAAGAAAUAAGCUAAUUUGGUCAUCCUGUCUAUGAUAAUCCAUAUAGAAUCAUACUGAUGACGGGUACGAGGAAAACCUAUCAUAAAAUCCAUGUUCACUUCCUCCCAUUUCUACAUGGGAAUACUGAACUCCUACAUGGACCAACUAGGCUUCUGGUGCUCAAUCUUAACUUGUUGACAUAUAGAGAACUUAAAUACAAACUCUGUAAUAUAUCUCUUCAUCCCACUCCACCAAUAAAUCUCCCAUAAAUCGUGGUACAUCUUAGUGGCCCCUGGAUGAAUAGAGUAACAUGCACCAUGUGCUUCUGCAAGAAUUUUUUGCCUCAAACCAUCUACACUAGGCACACAUAGUCUACCCUGACAACACAAAUCACCAUCUCCCCCUUAGGAGAAAACCUUCACUUUUUGAUCUCUAACUGAUUCUUUCAACUUAACUAGACCGAGAUCUCUAUCCUGCUUUUCUUUUACCUCAAAAACUAGAGAUGAUUCUGAACUACUCUGCACCCACACACUACCUUCUGUUGAAUCAACUAAGCGGAUACCUAGUCGAGCAAGCUGAUGAACUUCUUGAGCCACUUUCUUCUUACUAUCCUUAACGUGAGCAACACUGCCCAUAGACAAUCUACUGAGAGCAUUAGCCACUUUAUCGGCCUUGCCCAGAUGAUACAGAACACUCAUAUCAUAAUCUUUCAAUAUCUCUAACCACCUUCUCUGAUGUAAAUUCAAAUAUUUCUGAGAGAACACAUACUGGAGGCUUUUAUGAUUUGUGAACACAUCUACAUGCAUCCUAUACAAGUAAUGCCUCUUAAUCUUUAAAGCAAAUAUUGCUGCUAGCUCAAGAUGAUGAUUCGAAUAAUUCUUCUCAUGAUGCUUAAGCUAUCUGGAGGUGUAGGCUAUAACCUUACCUCUUUACAUGAGGACACAACCCAAACCUACUCAGGAUGCAUUCAAUACAUAAUAAAACCAGCUGAACCGUCUGGUAGAGUAAGAACUGGGGCAGAGGUAAGUUUAGUCUUCAACUCCUAAAAACUCUUCUCACAUGAAUCUGACCACUGAAACUUAACUUCUUUCUAAGUCAAUCUGGACAUGGGGGAUACAAUAGAAGAAAAACCUUCAACAAACCAUCGGUAAUAGCCAACUAAACCUAAAAAACUCCUGGUGUCUGAUAGAGAGAUUGGUCUAGGCUAGUUUCUCACCACCUCGGUCUUUUAAGAAUCAACCCUAAUGCCAUCACCAAAAAUAAUAUGACUAAGAAAAGCAACUGAUCUUAGCCAAAUCUCACACUUACUGAAUUUAGCAAACAACUGGUGAGCUCUAAGAGUUUUUAGCACUAUCCUUAGAUGGUUUGCAUGAUCAUUUUCAUUACGGGAGUAAACAAGAAUGUCAUCGAUUAAUACUAUGAUGAACAUGUCUACGUAAUGGUUGAACAUUUAGUUCAUCAAGUCCAUAAAGGCUGCUGGGGCAUUAGUAAGACCAAAGGAUAUGACUAGAAAUUUGAAGUGACCAUACCGAGUUUAGAAAGCUGUCUUUGAAUGUCACGUUCUGUGACUCUAAGCUGAUGAUAGCCUGAUCUGAGGUCUAUCUUAGAAAAGUAACUGGCACCCUAAAGUUGGUCAAACAAGUCAUCAAUUCUAGGAAGUAGGUAUUUAUUCUUAACUGUGACCUUGUUCAACUGACGGUAGUCAAUACACAUUUUAAGAGAACCGUCUUUCUUACGCAGGAAUAGAAUAGGUGUGCCCCAUGGGGAAACAUUAGGUCUGAUGAAUCCCUUAUCUAAGAGAUCCUUUAACUGUUCUUUUAAUUCCUUGAGUUCAGCUGGAGCCAUUCUGUAUGGAAGAACAGAUAUGGGCUGAGUAUCUGGAAGAAGUUCUAUUUCGAAGUCAAUUUCCCUUUCAAGAGGAACUCCGAGAAGAUCUUUAGGAAACACAUCUGAGAAUUCAUUUACUAAAGGAAUAAAUUCAAGAGUUGGAGUUUCUAAGCUAGAGUCUUUGACUCGCACAAGGUGGUAGACACACCCCUUAGAUAUCAUCUUUCUGGCUCUAAGGUAUGAAAUCAACUAACCCCUAAGAGCUGUAGUACUACCCCUCAAUUCAAAGACUGGUUCAUUUGGAAAUUGGAAAUGAACUAUUCUAUUUCUAUGAUCAACUGAGGCAUAACAUGAGUGAAGCCAAUCCAUGCCGAGAAUGACGUUAAAAUUUGUCAUCUCUAACUCUACGAGAUCAACUGAGGCAACUUUCUAAGAUAUUGUGACCAAACAGUUCCUGUAUACCUAUCUGGCUACAAUAUUAAUGCCUAUUGGGGUAAACACUAAAAAGGGAUCUAAUAGAGUUUUGGGACUGAUUCCAAAAUUGAUAGCUAUAUAUGGAGAUACAAAGGAAAGAGAAUCUCCAGGGUCUAGUAAAGCAUAAACAUGUAAAUGAAAGAAAUACAACGUACCAAUAACUACGUCAAGAGAAUUUUACUGAUCUUGGUAGGACUGAAGAUCAUAUAAUCUAUUCAGACGCUUACCACUAGUAGCACUGGAAGGGUAACCCUACUGAGUUGGGUGAUCGGAUAGAACUGAUGACUAAUAGGACUGGCCCUGUUGGUACACAUCCCUACCUUUCUGAGCAGCUACCCGACACUCUCAAAUUUGAUGGACUGGCUUGCCAAACCUAAAGCAUGCAUCACUACCCACUCUACACUCACCCUGAUGGUGUCUGCCAUAUUUCUGACAUAAAAGAUUGGUACGAGCACUUCUAGCACUAACCUGGGACUUAGAUUGUGGUGCCCUAUUCCUAUUGCCGUUUCUAAAUUUAGGUACUGGGGCACUGGCUGAAGAGGGCAAUGGGGUUAAAGACCUUUGAUAAAACUGAGAAUGAUUACCACCCUCUGACUUUGGCUAAUUAAAGUUAAAACUACCUAUCCUAGAUCUUUUAUUUCCUCUCUCCCUCUUCUUAAUCCUUUGCUCCUCUAUCUAUUGAGCAUGGACCAUCAGUCGAGAUAAGUCCAUCUUACUAAUCAGCAUUACGGUCCUACACUCCUUAACCACACUAUCAGACACACCAGACAUAAACUUACUCAUUUUUAACCUACUAUCAGCUACCAUAUGAGGAGCAUAUCUAUCUAACUGAGUGAACUUGAGAGAAUAAUCCCUCACACUCAUGCUGCCUUGUCUCAAAUUAAUAAAUUCUAACACCUUUGCCUCUCUCAAAUCUAAUGGAAAGAAUUUGUCCAAGAAAGUCGUGGCAAACUCUUCCCAUUCUAUAGGCCCUGCAUCAAUACCUCUAUUAACUUUCCACUACUUGAACCAAGUAUGGGUUACAUCCUACAAUUGAUAUGCAUCCAACUCAGCACUCUGACUAGACGUCACCCCAAUAGCAUCCGUUAUCUUUUGAACCAUAUCUAAGAAUUCCUAUGGAUCCUUUUCAGACUUAGACCCCAUGAAAGAAUGAGGAUUCAUCUGGGUGAAAUCCCAAAUUCUAGUUGCAGUAUUAUUGGCCACUAGGUUGGCCCGAAAAGCAGCUGGCCAUUUAUUCUGCACUGCUACGGAGUUUGCUAGAGUAGUAAAUGUAGCCCUAAAUUCUACGUAAGAGACAUGCUCAUACAGAGGAUCUGCUUGGAUAGGCUAAGGGGCUAGCUGAGUUCUUGUUCUUCUUUCGUUCUUCUUAGGAGGCAUGUUCUAUAAAUAGAAGGAGAAAACAAAUUAGAUUGAGAGUUUAACUUGAUCUCAUGCUCAAUCGUACGACAUGAAUACUGAAAGAAGGGAAACUUUUUCUAAACGCCUUGUAGCCACUCAUCCAUAAGUGUGGCGCACUAUACACCCAUGCACAAGACACUACACGAUGUGGCUUUCAAAAUUCCUAGGACACUUUAAAACCUUAGCCUCUAAUACCAACUUUGUAACAACCUGAGACUACCCCCUAGUCAUUGCACAGUGCUUACAAUCUCGACAUACCACAAGCUAACCCAUAAUAUGGUACCUUUUGUGAGCACUGAAUCAUAUAAUUAUGAAUGCAGAAGAAUAACUAAAAUGAUAUAAGGUUUUUAAUAAUGAAAUAACUACUGAAUUAUGAAUCUGAUAAAAAUAUUAAAAUUUUAAUAGUCUGAAUAGCUAACUGUAGUGUCUGAAAAGCCUCUAACUAGAUACUGUGAGUUGAUAGGAUAGGCCCCAACUAACUCUACUAACUACUGAGAUAAAGACAUAAAGUAAUAUAAUCUUUCCUUGGAUGAUGAGGACUCACCACUACUACCGUACUGCUGAUAAUCUUAGAAUCUAGGUGCGAUCCGAGAACUGGGAGUCAACACCUAUGAUAUGAGACAUCAUAGUGGAAAAAAAAAGGCAUGUGAUGAGUACUUUGAAUGUAGUAGUAUGAUAAAUGAGGUAUACUGAUAUGAAUGGUCUCAUGAAUAGGAAUGAUAAUAAUUAACUAGACAUACAUGUAAAGCAUGGAGUACUAAAUAAAGAGCAUAGAAUCUGUAGAUACUAAAAAUGCAAGAAAAUUUAAAAAUAUUGUGGAUGCAUGACCAAGAAUAUAACAUGAACAGAGUAAAAUCUAUAAACUGAUAUACUGAGAUAACUAAAAUCUGCAUGCUUUGGUCAAACAACACUAAGACUGAAUAACUGAGCUGAGACCAUAAUUGAGACUAUAUCAGAGACUAUAGGAGGUAUCAUCUAACUGACGUUUCCCAAUUUGAGAUAAUUGGGGUCCAACCUAUAACCUCAGUUGGAAAGGUGUUAAUACUUUCCACAGGUACUAACAAUGGCUGUGUGGAUCCAUUAAACUGAUAUGAUGUCGAAAGAACUAAGGGUGUCAUGCCUAAACUGACGGGUGACCCCUGCGAAAUAGUCAAGCCUAAUCUGAUGGGUGACUACUCAUAUUUUACGCUGGCUAUGUGUAGUUAUGGAGUAUAGGGACUGCUAGUAACAACUCUGCCUAUCUAAUGGGUAACAUACCAUCCCUGCACUUGCUCGGUGCUAAAUCCUACUCCCAACUAAAAGACACUAAGAUACUAGACGUUUCUGAGUUUAAUGACUGAUAUCUGACUAUUUUAAUAAUGCUCAUAAUAUAAUUUGAAGACUAUUUUGUAAUGUACUGAGACUAGACUAAAUAAAAAACUAUGGUAUUUGUAUAUUCAAUACCCGCAGGACUCAAAACGACAAUACUAAAAAGACAUUAAAUCUUGAAGACCAAAACAUGAAAGCUUUUAUUAAAUAAAUCACUCUUGUAGGUAUUUUAUCGAACACUUGUACUUCAUAAUUUAGUCAAUUCAUGGGAAUAGUAUAAAACUUGAAAUAAUAGCAUGACUUCAACAUUUAUAACACUAAAUCAUGAUCUAAUUCAAAUAAUGACAAUAUUAAAACAUGAAGGAUUUCAUAACAACAAUAAUUCCAUUAAAGUAUGGUAUAAAAUCAAUAUUCAUGGAAGUUCAUUGAAAUUCAUAGUUUUAAAUUACAAUUUAAUAUCAUAAAUCUUGAAAAGAUGAUAGAUUUGUAAUUAAAAUGGAUACUUGGACUCCAUGGAUAAAAGGAAUCCAUGAAUGAACAUCUAACAUACCUGGGAUGAUGAAUUUAGAAGGAUUGAUGAAGAGUUCUUGAAAUUUAACCUUGAUUCUUGAGAGCUAGGGUUUAUUGUUCUUGAAAGAGGGGAUUUUUAAUUUGAGAGAAAGUGAAUAAUGAAGAGUAUUUAGGUCAAAUAGGGGUUAAAUUUCAUGUUUAGGGUGUGUUUAGGGUUUAGGAAAAAGACCCAAAUACCCUUAAACAAAUUUAAAAACACAAGCUGGAAAUUGAAAUCCCAAUUUUUGGCCAUGGCGCAACGUGCCACAAUCGUUCCAAGUCACUGAAAAAGGGACAACUAGGACUUGGAUAAACACCGCGAUGUGCAACCAUCACAGUAAGCCCGAUGAUGCCAUUUUGGCCAUCUCCGCGAUGUGCCAUGAUCGCGGAGGCCCACUUGAAUUUAACAAAUGUCAAAUUGACCUAUGACGAGAUGUUCUAGGAUCGUGGACCUUUAUUAGAUUUUUUAAAAUGGGAGAUUGGCCUACUCCGUGAUGCACUAGAGUUUAAAAUGACGGUGUUUAACGACUGAAACUUUAAAUCGUCAUAACUUCUUACUCAGUUAUUGGAUUUGGGUAAAUUUUAUAUCACUGGAAAGAUAAUUGAAUUUACUACUUAAUAGCAUGCUCUAUAUUGAAAAAUAAUGAAUGUGUCAAAAAUUUUAUAUAUGAACACUCAUGUAUUGGGACUUAGAUUAUGCUAAGGGAAUAUGGGGUGUUAUAGGUAAUAAGAGUGUCUUUCAAAUAUGGAUGAAGAAACCCGCCAAUAGAAAGAUAAAUAUGUGUUUUUUUGUUCCAUCUUUCUUCUUAGUGAAACCAUUCUCUUGAAAGAGCAGAAUUAUUAACAUAAUUUUUCUUUUUUUUUUUAAUAGGAUUUUACCUUUAUCUUUUCCUCAUAUCAUCCUUUCUUAUCGUAAAUAAGAUUUGGUUUUUACCUCUUAUUGACAUCCGCCCCUAGGUCUGGAGGAUUCCCAAGGUCCUUAGUCCAAGAUGAGUGUAGCUAAGAGUAUAUAUCCACUAUGAAGGGGUGGAUCUAAAAUGGUUAUGGUAAGAAUCAUCUCAUCGUUAUUCAUAUCUUUUCCACCCAUAUUCAUAUUAAUUGAUUUUUAUUUCUAAGGAUCAAAUUUAGUGUCGUCAUAGUCCAUUAGCAUAAUUUUCUUUUGAUAUUCUUGAAGGUUUUAAAUUUUUGCUUAUUUGUCAAGUCAAAGAAGAGAAUAAUCUCUGUGAGGUCGAUCCUUGGUCAAAAAUAAAGGGAAAAGCAACUAUGGCAUCCUCAUGUUUAGGAAAAAAAUUGGGGAGUAGUGGGAUCACCACCCUAUUGAAAGGGGUGGGUGGGUGCAGGUGAAGACUUCCAUUUCGACACUUGGAGUCGAUGAUUUGGAACCUUAGUCUCUUAAGGGGAUCCCAAUUGUACCUUUGGUAGAUGCCAUUCUAGUUGAGACAUCAUCCACAGAUAGGAACAUCAAAAGGGAAGUUAGGAAUUCCUCUUGUAAAUUUCCUACUGAAAUGAGUUCCUAUAUGGUAGCCCCUAUAUGUUAGUUAUUUAGGUACUGACAAGAACCAUUUCUAUGUACCAUAGAGCGUGUGCCCUUAGGAGAUGGGGAGGUUGUCAUAGUAAAAUGACCAAACCCUUUUCAAAGGUACCUUUCGGGCCUUAUUAGUAUAAGUUAGUCCAGAUUCUCAUAAAUUUUGUUCCUCUUAACCUUUUUUGUAUUCUUUAAAAACUAAUACCCUCUUGUUUUUCAGGUAUGGACAUCAUUUUAUAUGUGAAACCUUAUCUGAGAGGAGGACGAGUUGAACAUGAAACAACUUAAAAAAAGGGUUGCAAUUUUAAAGAAGAAGGUUUAUACUUUAGAGGAUUGCUUUACCACUGACAAGAAGUUUCUCAACCUUUAUAAAAAAUAAAGGCUAAAUGAUAGGGCCAAAAGUGCAGAUAAGAGGGAUAAUUAUGUCUAUCAAGAAUUAUUACAUCUGUGAACCCUUCUAAAGAAAAAAUCUAAUGAAGCCGCGACUGCUCAGGCUGAAACAAAUCUUUUUUUGGGUGAAGUUAGCUCCCUUGGGAUGUUUAAGUAUGAUUUUGAUGAGAAAUAUGAAAAAUUAGAGCUCUUUGGUGGAGUUUGAGGAAGAGGGAGUCUAGGUAUUCAACUUCAUUUGAUAAAAGUGCCUUUUGUGUAUGAUAUUAGCUGAUAUUCCUGAGUCUACCAACACUCGCUUUGCAUUGC
This 21852-nucleotide long non-coding RNA is filed under the name Capsicum annuum. RNAcentral describes it as "long non-coding RNA (CANN_LNC015911)". Lineage: Eukaryota; Viridiplantae; Streptophyta; Magnoliopsida; Solanales; Solanaceae. The record is from RNAcentral.